RNAcentral lists this ribosomal RNA (305 nucleotides) under uncultured bacterium. RNAcentral's name for it is "bacterial SSU rRNA". It matches the Rfam family "Bacterial small subunit ribosomal RNA", at positions 337 to 656 of the family's 1533-position model. The record is from RNAcentral.
UCCUACGGGAGGCAGCAGUGGGGGAUAUUGGACAAUGGGGGGAACCCUGAUCCAGCGACGCCGCGUGAGUGAAGAAGUAUUUCGGUAUGUAAAGCUCUGUCAGCAGGGAAGAAAGCAAUGACGGUACCUGACCAAGAAGCCCCGGCUAACUACGUGCCAGCAGCCGCGGUAAUACGUAGGGGGCAAGCGUUGUCCGGAAUUACUGGGUGUAAGAGGAGCGUAGGCGGGAAGCCAAGUCAGCUGUGAAAACUACGGGCUUAACCUGUAGACUGCAGUUGAAACUGGCUUUCUUGAGUGAAGUAGAG